Molecule: unclassified non-coding RNA, 500 nt
Filed under: uncultured Diversispora
Lineage: Eukaryota; Fungi; Glomeromycota; Glomeromycetes; Diversisporales; Diversisporaceae
Description: bacterial SSU rRNA
Rfam family: Eukaryotic small subunit ribosomal RNA
Source: RNAcentral
CCAAUAGCGUAUAUUAAAGUUGUUGCAGUUAGAAAGCUCGUAGUUGAACUUCGGGGUCUACCCAUUGGUCAGGCUUAAUUGUCUGCACUGGUGAGAUGGAUCUCUACCUUCUGAGGAACUUUCAUGCCAUUUAUUUGGUGUGGUUGGAAAUCAGGACUGUUACUUUGAAAAAAUUAGAGUGUUUAAAGCAGACUAUCGUCUGAAUACAUUAGCAUGGAAUAAUGAAAUAGGACGGACUGAUUCUAUUUCGUGUGUUUCUAUGAUCACCGUAAUGAUUAAUAGGGAUAGUUGGGGGCAUUAGUAUUCAAUUGUCAGAGGUGAAAUUCUUGGAUUUAUUGAAGACUAACUACUGCGAAAGCAUUUGCCAAGGAUGUUUUCAUUAAUCAGUGAACGAAAGUUAGAGGUUCGAAGGCGAUCAGAUACCGCCCUAGUUCUAACCAUAAACGAUGCCGACCGGCGAUCCGCUGUCGUUACUUGAAUGACUCAGCGGGCAGCCUCCG